This is a long non-coding RNA of Arvicola amphibius (Eurasian water vole), 1354 nucleotides long. RefSeq lists it as uncharacterized. The record is from RefSeq and is a predicted model, not a curated record. The transcript is spliced from 4 exons. Lineage: Eukaryota; Metazoa; Chordata; Mammalia; Rodentia; Cricetidae.
ACAACAAGGCGACCCAGACCCUGACUUCCUUAAAUGACGCGGAAGAGCUGUGUUUGUAGGCGUGGAGCUGCUCGUGGGGCUGUCAUUGGCGUGAUUUCCUGCGGCAGUCGGGGGAGUAUUGCGAGACUGCGGGUGUGGUCUGCAGGGGUGCUGCGGAGAUUCCCACCCUGGUUAGGGCGGGUGGGGUCCCACCGGAGAGCCCGGGCGGUCCGGACACAGCAGGGGAUGAAGUUGGCUUUCCUUUCCUCAGGAAGACUUCAUAAAGGACUGAGCGAUGAGCAGGAUUAAAAAUAAUUCAUUCUGUUUAUUAAUAUGACUUUCACUUUCAAACCUCGUAUUCUCCCACCCUCACAGAAGAAAUCACUCCAUUGAAAAAUAAGGAUGUCAGAAAGAUGGAUCUCCAAAGCCAACCAUUUCCUGAACGGUGUGGAUUUCUGUAAGCAGAGCCUCAUCUUUGAGUUUCAGCUGCAGAAACAAGAUGGGGAAACUGCAGGUGUAUGUUUCCCUCAGCGGAAAUCCAUCAAGCACCGGGGCUCACAAUCUACAUUCUGGGUCUUACAGCCAUCUGCCGCAUACCUUCAUUGUGUACUUGUAGGCCUGCUCAGCUUCCAGCUGUCGUCCAACCUGAAAGAAACACACAGAACAUAGUCUCUCUGCAGCCCUGGCUGGCCUUCACCCCAUAGAGAACUACUUUCCUCUGCCUCUACUUCUACCUCCUGAAUGAUGGAAGGUGCUGUCCCAGCCUCAAGGCAGGGACUCUGGACAUGAUAGACAUCAACAGCCUCACAGCCUUGGUGGAAAACAUCUGUCUACAACCCCAGCACUGGGUGGGUAAGGGGAAAAGAUGAGGAGUUUAAGGACAUUUUUGGCUAAACAGUGAGUUUGAGGCCACCCUAGGUACAUGAGAAUCCCAUCCCUGGCACUGGGCAGGACGGGACUUAGUCUGCUGACCAUGUUAGCAGAUUUGCAGAUGAACUGCGCCAUGUCUAACAGGUGCUUUGAAAGAUGCAGAGGAAAGAAAUGCUGAGGCAAGGAUGAAGACAACGGUCACCUAAAGUUAGUGACCGCCAAAGCAGGGGAGAGUAGAAGGCAUUUUCUUCUCUUUACAGACUAACAAUAUUUUAAACUGUCCAUGAUAAAAAGCUAAAAGAAAACAUUGACCCCGUAGCUGGUUGUGUAGCCCUGUGAGCUCACUUUGGUCUAUUUAUAUCUCAGAUUUCUCAGGCUAGGUUUGCCUAAGAUUUUUUUUUUUUUUUUUUUUUUUUCGUUUUUUUUCAUCUAGUUUAAUUUUAUUUCAUGUGUAUUGGUGUUUUGUCUGCAUUCAUUGGAUCCCCUGGACUUGUACUUACAGACA